CCCUUAGAUGUUCUGGGCUGCACGCGCGCUACACUGAAGCGUUCAACGAGUAUUUCACCUUGCCCGGGAGGGUUGGGUAAUCUUUUUAAAACGCUUCGCGAUGGGGAUAGAUUAUUGCAAUUAUUAAUCUUCAACGAGGAAUUCCUAGUAAGCGCGAGUCAUCAGCUCGUGCUGAUUACGUCCCUGCCCUUUGUACACACCGCCCGUCGCUACUACCGAUUGAAUGGUUUAGUGAGACCCUCGGAUUCGUCCCAGCACAGUGGGUUUCUGCUGAGCUGGUGCGCGGAGAAGACGGUCGAACUUGAUCAUUUAGAGGAAGUAAAAGUCGUAACA
This 333-nucleotide ribosomal RNA is filed under the name uncultured eukaryote. RNAcentral describes it as "partial 18S ribosomal RNA". It matches the Rfam family "Eukaryotic small subunit ribosomal RNA", at positions 1470 to 1796 of the family's 1831-position model. The record is from RNAcentral.